Molecule: non-coding RNA, 93 nt
Filed under: Gardnerella vaginalis
Lineage: Bacteria; Bacillati; Actinomycetota; Actinomycetes; Bifidobacteriales; Bifidobacteriaceae
Description: TPP sequence
Rfam family: TPP riboswitch aptamer (THI element)
About the family: Vitamin B(1) in its active form thiamin pyrophosphate (TPP) is an essential coenzyme that is synthesised by coupling of pyrimidine and thiazole moieties in bacteria. The previously detected thiamin-regulatory element, thi box was extended, resulting in a new, highly conserved RNA secondary structure, the THI element, which is widely distributed in eubacteria and also occurs in some archaea.
Source: RNAcentral
AAAGUCGGUUCGGGGUGCGUAAAAACGCUGAGAUUACACCCGUUAAACCUGAUCUAGGUAGUGCUAGCGAAGGGAAAAUCAUGGAAGAAUUAA